GUAAAUUAAGAUGACCACCACCCGAACUACUUAACUCCUGUGUAAUCACAACAUGAUGCGUUGAAUUCAAUAGGGUGGAUUCGACUCUGAUGCUGUGGCAACCGCAAACAUCUUGGAGACCUCCACACCAGUGAUCGACGGGAAGAAAUACUACUUCAUCUCGGUUCUGACGAGGACGGCCGACGGAGACGAGGGCGGGAAGCAUCAGCUCAUAACAGCGACUGUCUCCGGUGGUAAGCUUUACAUCUGCAAGGCGCAAGCUGGUGACAAGAGAUGGUUCAAGGGUGCCAGGAAGUUCGUGGAAAGCGCAGCGAGUUCCUUCAGCGUUGCAUAAGAAAAUUCCCUCGCGGGCCUUGAAUUCCUGCUGCUGUGAACGAGUUGAAUGCUGCUGCGACUGCCAAUCUGUAGGAUAAGAACGUGUUUAUUUGAAUUGUCGGAUGUAAAACCUUUUCCGUCUCUAUAAAUUCCUACAAUUCUCUCCUGUUUUGUGUCUCCACAACUAAAAGGGGCUAAACAAAGACGCGGUAUAUACGAAUGAUUCAGGUAGAUAGAUGUCUUGUGCAGAGAGAUUCAGAAACUAGAUCAGAUACAAGAGAACUCGGAACGUUUGAUGAUUACAGAACCUUUUCAUCACCAUCUGUUGCAUGCUCACAGAAUACAGAUUAAGCUCACAGCAGUUCAAACCUUGUUUGAGCAUGAGAUCGUCGCGUGCUAUCCAAAUGCCUCGACUCUGUAAGCCAGCACAGGAGUGAGGAGGCAAGAGAAGAUGGAGUUCCUCAUCUUCGUCCUCAUCAUCAUGUCGAUGAUCCAGUGGCAAUGCACGACGUCGCACAGAAUCCGCAGGACGCCUCGCUGAUCGUGCCCUGACUCCAGGGCCGCCAGCUCCAGCAACACCAUGAAGAAGGGAUGCG
Molecule: long non-coding RNA, 911 nt
Filed under: Musa acuminata (dwarf banana)
Lineage: Eukaryota; Viridiplantae; Streptophyta; Magnoliopsida; Zingiberales; Musaceae
Description: long non-coding RNA (MACU_LNC003813)
Source: RNAcentral